This 312-nucleotide ribosomal RNA is filed under the name Streptococcus sp. RNAcentral's name for it is "partial 16S ribosomal RNA". It matches the Rfam family "Bacterial small subunit ribosomal RNA", at positions 1 to 296 of the family's 1533-position model. Lineage: Bacteria; Bacillati; Bacillota; Bacilli; Lactobacillales; Streptococcaceae. The record is from RNAcentral.
UUUCAUGAGAGUUUGAUCCUGGCUCAGGACGAACGCNNNNNNNNNNGCGUGCCUAAUACAUGCAAGUCGAACGAGAGCGACCGGUGCUUGCACUGGUCAAUCUAGUGGCGAACGGGUGAGUAACACGUGGGUAACCUGCCCAUCAGAGGGGGAUAACAUUCGGAAACGGAUGCUAAAACCGCAUAGGUCCUUUAACCGCAUGGUUGAAGGAGGAAAAGAGGCGCAAGCUUCUGCUGAUGGAUGGACCCGCGGUGCAUUAGCUAGUUGGUGAGGUAACGGCUCACCAAGGCCGUGAUGCAUAGCCGACCUGAG